This 495-nucleotide ribosomal RNA is filed under the name Triticum aestivum (bread wheat). Its description in RNAcentral is "partial small subunit ribosomal RNA". The record is from RNAcentral. Lineage: Eukaryota; Viridiplantae; Streptophyta; Magnoliopsida; Poales; Poaceae.
AUGUACCAAAAGUACAUUGCCGAGUUGGACACGAUUACGCCUGAGCAGGUGGUAUGGCAGCCAUAUGGCACCGAUGACAGACUUGCGUACACCAUGGAGUUUUCCAUCAACCCGAUGUGCUUGCGGGAUAGGGAUCUCUGGCUUAUGCGGUGCCCAUUGAUAUGCAACUGGGCGGUUGAGUUUCAUUUGCCACAUCGCGUGAUUCGUCAGUUUGGUCUGUUCCAGCCUCACCCACCGGAAUGGGUGGAUACGGACAAAGCACUUCAUAGGUUGGACAGGAGAAGGCAGAGGAAGAUAAAGGACUGGGACAAGCAUCAUGCUCCGUAUGUUACCCGCUUCCAGCUUUGUGUGGAGGAAGCUCGUAGCAGUGCCAUGCCCAGCUUCGUGAGCAUAACUCACUUGCUUUUGAUAACUACAUACGAUGGCUUCUUGAAAAUACUCGAGUUGAGAUAUGCCCGCCGGCAUAUAAUGAGGAUAUUCUUGAAGAACUCGUAA